Molecule: non-coding RNA, 90 nt
Organism: Mycena latifolia
Lineage: Eukaryota; Fungi; Basidiomycota; Agaricomycetes; Agaricales; Mycenaceae
Source: the annotation of a GenBank genome assembly
GGCUCGAUGGCGGACGGUCCGCGCUUGCCUCCAGUGGGUCUUUUGAAAAUGUUACUGCAGGUUGAGUCCGUUCGACUCGGGCUCGAGCCA